CAGCUUUGUGCUCGGUGCCAGAGAGGCUUCCGGAGGCAGGCAGGGCUGCGUGCAGCCUGGAAGGAUGAGCCAGGCCAGGCGGGAAACGGAAGUCCAGGUAGAAGGGAGGAGCCGAAUUGGGGUACACUCCAUAUGGGCUCAGGCAGGUCAGCCUGUGGAAUGAAUAGAGGCCAACAUGCAGGCCAGCCCGGAAUGCGGCAGGAGUGACAAUGGCUUUCCGUUUCUGGGAAUUCUGCCAGUACCUACAGUGGUGCCUUUUGACUUGGCUUACCUUUUUUCUCGACAUGCAGGCAGCGUCUAUCCCAGACUACCGGGGCCCUAAUGGAGUGUGGACACUGCUUCAGAAAGGGAGAAGCGUUAGUGCUGCCGACCUGAGCGAGGCCGAGCCAACCCUCACCCACAUGAGCAUCACCCGUCUGCAUGAGCAGAAGCUGGUGCAGCAUGUGGUGUCUCAGAACUGUGACGGGCUCCACCUGAGGAGUGGGCUGCCACGCACGGCCAUCUCCGAGCUCCACGGGAACAUGUACAUUGAAGUGAGCAGUCCUGCAGGGACCCGGGGUCUCCAUGGGCAGGCGGGUCCCACUCACUGUGCCCUCUUGCCUCUAGGUCUGUACCUCCUGCGUUCCCAACAGGGAGUACGUGCGGGUGUUCGAUGUGACGGAGCGCACCGCCCUCCACAGACACCAGACAGGCCGGACCUGCCACAAGUGUGGGACCCAGCUGCGGGACACUAUUGUGCACUUUGGGG
Molecule: small RNA, 748 nt
Filed under: Pan troglodytes (chimpanzee)
Lineage: Eukaryota; Metazoa; Chordata; Mammalia; Primates; Hominidae
Description: retained intron
Source: RNAcentral